This 484-nucleotide ribosomal RNA is filed under the name uncultured bacterium. Its description in RNAcentral is "partial 16S ribosomal RNA". It matches the Rfam family "Bacterial small subunit ribosomal RNA", at positions 28 to 523 of the family's 1533-position model. The record is from RNAcentral.
GAUGAACGCUGGCGGCGUGCUUAACACAUGCAAGUUGAACGGUGAAGCAGGAGCUUGCUCUUGUGGAUCAGUGGCGAACGGGUGAGUAACACGUGAGCAACCUGCCCCUGACUCUGGGAUAAGCGCUGGAAACGGCGUCUAAUACUGGAUAUGUGAUGUGACCGCAUGGUCUGCAUCUGGAAAGAAUUUCGGUUGGGGAUGGGCUCGCGGCCUAUCAGCUUGUUGGUGAGGUAAUGGCUCACCAAGGCGUCGACGGGUAGCCGGCCUGAGAGGGUGACCGGCCACACUGGGACUGAGACACGGCCCAGACUCCUACGGGAGGCAGCAGUGGGGAAUAUUGCACAAUGGGCGGAGGCCUGAUGCAGCAACGCCGCGUGAGGGAUGACGGCCUUCGGGUUGUAAACUUCUUUUAGCAGGGAAGAAGCGAAAGUGACGGUACCUGCAGAAAAAGCACCGGCUAACUACGUGCCAGCCGCCGCAGUAA